Microcebus murinus (gray mouse lemur) is the source of this 129-nucleotide small nucleolar RNA. NCBI's taxonomy places the organism in Eukaryota, Metazoa, Chordata, Mammalia, Primates, Cheirogaleidae. The record is from Ensembl.
AGGUCAUUUCAAAGAGGGCUUGUAUGACUAUGAAACCAGAGGCUCUAAAUGCUACAUGAUCAGAGACUGAAGUUCUCCAUAGGAUGCCAUAAUCAUUCAAUAGUGCUGUUUUCCUGAGGAGGUAUAAGA